AGAUUAAGCCAUGCAAGUGUCAGCUCAAGCCGUACUAUGGUUAAGCCGCGGAAAGCUCAUUACAACAGCCAUUGUUCACUUGAUCUCUACUUGGAUAACUGUGGUAAUUCUAGAGCUAAUACAUGCAACAAUGCUCUAGCCUUUCGGGGCGAGCGCAGUUAUUAGAACAAAACCAAUCGGGCUUCGGUUUGGUGGAUCUGAAUAACUCAGCUGAUCGCACAGUCUUCGUACUGGCGACGAAUCUUUCUCUGCCUUAUCAGCUGUCGAUGGUAGUCUACGUGGCUACCAUGGCUGUAACGGGUAACGGAGAAUAAGGGUUCGACUCCGGAGAGGGAGCCUGAGAAACGGCUACCACAUCCAAGGAAG
Molecule: ribosomal RNA, 366 nt
Filed under: Camacolaimus sp. 7P3I20
Lineage: Eukaryota; Metazoa; Nematoda; Chromadorea; Plectida; Leptolaimidae
Description: SSU rRNA
Rfam family: Eukaryotic small subunit ribosomal RNA
Source: RNAcentral